GCAAAAACUGACUUUCAGAUUUAUAAUUUCACAAUAGCGAUAAUAAUAAUUUGAAUAUGGUUAAAUAAAGAGAAAAAAACAACAACAAAAAAGAAUAAAAUAAUAUUAAAAUGAUAAAAUUAAUUAGUUGUUUGUUUUGGUUACCAUUGAUGAUAACGCAACAAGAUAUUAAAGCCAGUAGUUAAUAAAAGUAAACAUAAUAUGAUUUAUAUAAUGCUUAUUCAUGGAGGCAUUAUAAAGGCCACUAUAACGCAUUUCUCAAUAUUCAUUCAUAUAUAUAGGGCCUCAUGUAUUUCUUAUGCAUCACCUCCUUUUAAUUUUAAUUAAGUUGUUUACAAUUAAGUUUAGAAAUUAUAACAUGUCGAAGAGUCUCAAUUUCAUUAUCUUGGCUUUGCUUUUGGUUGCAAGCACUGAAAACUCACAUGUUUCAAGCACUAGUAUCGGCCAAGAAUCUAAUUCUGCAAUAUCACCUGAUAGCGACAAGUGCUUUGGACUUACACCAGAAGAAUGUUACAAUAAGUAUCACCAUGAUAGUCAAGACUACACCAUCAUCUAUAACCCAUGAUUUUGUUAAAUGCUAUAUUUUAAUAAAAGAAGGAAUUAAUCCAUUAUGAGCAUGUGAUAUAUUGUGUUUGUUACAUGGUAUUGAUUUGUUGUAUGUAAUUUAUCUAUAUCUGUUAACUUUUCUUACCAUUUGACCCCUAUAAUUUUUCUUCCCAACCCCUUGAACAAAUAUUUACAGAGGAGUAGCUCAACAUGUUUGAAGAUUUUAAUUUCAAGGAGGUAUGUGUGAUCCAUUUGAUCUCUAGUUUACAACACAAAAAGUAUUAAUUUUUCAUAGCCUUGCAACACAGAAAGUACAAUUGUUUAAUUAUAAUCUUUCGGAUGCUACUUUCAUGCCCUUUUUUUUUUCUUUCCAACUAGCAAGCAAGAGCCUGCUCAAAGCAAUGUGAUGUAAGUGAUAACCAUUUUUGCUUAAUUGAUUUAUUUGUUUGAUUUAUAAUGUUUAUUUCUUGUGAUUUAUUUCUUGUGAUCUUUUGAAUGGUGAAAUCUUUUGAUGCGAGUUGUUGGCUCAUCUAGUUUUGUUGUCGAUCAUUAUUUGUUUAUUGGCAAAAUUGAUUACCUAAC
Molecule: long non-coding RNA, 1128 nt
Filed under: Citrus x clementina
Lineage: Eukaryota; Viridiplantae; Streptophyta; Magnoliopsida; Sapindales; Rutaceae
Description: Citrus clementina (C. clementina) long non-coding RNA (CCLE_LNC006506)
Source: RNAcentral